This is a non-coding RNA of Lophiostoma macrostomum CBS 122681, 94 nucleotides long. NCBI's taxonomy places the organism in Eukaryota, Fungi, Ascomycota, Dothideomycetes, Pleosporales, Lophiostomataceae. The record is from the annotation of a GenBank genome assembly.
UCCUCCGUGGCGCAAUUGGCUAGCGCGUCUGACUGUUAGACUCCCUGUGGAGCCUGGAAUCAGGAGGUUCGUGGUUCGAGCCCACGCGGGGGAG